GUCCGGGUGGCGGAAUAGGCAGACGCGGGGGGCUUAAACCCCCCUGGCUAGAAAUAGCCGUAUGGGUUCAAGUCCCAUCCCGGGCA
RNAcentral lists this transfer RNA (86 nucleotides) under bacterium. RNAcentral describes it as "tRNA-Leu". It matches the Rfam family "tRNA". From Rfam's summary of the family: Transfer RNA (tRNA) molecules are approximately 80 nucleotides in length. RNAcentral also lists the same sequence under 3 other names. The record is from RNAcentral.